This 408-nucleotide long non-coding RNA is filed under the name Marmota monax (woodchuck). Lineage: Eukaryota; Metazoa; Chordata; Mammalia; Rodentia; Sciuridae. The record is from RNAcentral.
UCCAAAGGCCACCUCUAGCCCCACGGCACCAGGGACCAGGCCUUCCACACAGGAGCCUCUGGGGACCGUCCAGAUCCAAACCCUAGCAGCCGAGGUGGCCGCAGUGACCAUGGGCAGAGCAGACGGGCAGCGCUAUGAAGGGCGCGGUGAGCCAGAGGGCCGCGGGUUGGUGCUGUGAGGGACAGUGAGGGCUGUGUGCCGGGCUCCCGGGGACACGGAGUGGUGUGAAGGGUCCCAGUGGCACCGACAGCCUGGCCACGGCUUGGUGCUGGUGGUGCUGCUGCCCAGGGUCAUUGAUGGGCAGCGUCCUGGUCAUGACGUAAGGAAGGUGAGCCAGCGGUGACCACGGGGACCAUGGUGAGCAGGAGGUUAUAAAGGACGGGGUGGGGGUGCAGCGAUGACCACAGU